CUGUGAGUGACAGAUCGAAGUUGCUGAAACGAAAAGAAUGGCAAAAGGUUUGCAGAAGUUUUAAAGGUACGAUUUUUUAUCACAAUUUCUAUCCAAACACAAAGAUAAAUUCUAGUGGGAAUUGAAAAUUGUUUUAUUUACACUGUGCACGUUUAAAUAGAUUCCCAACAAUUUAUUCAUGUUGGAUGGAUGGAAUUAAAAGUGUAAAGGUUGGUCGGGCCACUUGGACCCCUAUAAAUGGCUCCACUUGGCUCGACCGGGCAGCCUAUUUAGACCGGCCGGCCUUUAUUUUUCUUUUUGUAUUUUCAGAAAAACAAAUGUGAAAAUGGAUGAUGUUGCAGGUGGAA
RNAcentral lists this long non-coding RNA (347 nucleotides) under Olea europaea (common olive). Its description in RNAcentral is "long non-coding RNA (OEUR_LNC012255)". The record is from RNAcentral. Lineage: Eukaryota; Viridiplantae; Streptophyta; Magnoliopsida; Lamiales; Oleaceae.